AGGCCAUGGGUUAAAAACCUUAUAAGAGUUAUAAUAGUAGAAAGGCAAUGUGGAUUAAUGGAUAGAGAGUCAAGCUUGGAGUCUAAAUGAUCUAUACUUCCCUGUAUGACACAUGAAUAAGUCACUUAAGGUCUUAUUUAGUAUUCCAAGCAAUAAUUAUUACAAGGGAAUUGAUAAUUAGUUGGGGGGAAAAUUCCGAUUGAGCUAUGAAAUCAUAGAUGUGAUGAAAAAAAUAUUCACUAUGGUAAUGGCAUUGUAUGUUGGUCCAAAGAAAAAAUGUUUCAAGUGGGACAAUGGAAAAAAAAAUUGUUUCUGAAAUUAGAAGACAUGGGUCCAAGGAUUCUGGUUGUCAUUUACUACCUGUGUGGCCUUAGAUGUGGACAACUGCUUUUGUCAAGGAAAUCACUCUUUUGGUACACUAAAACAAGCCACUGUCAACUUUAUUUUCCUUAGUUCCUGAAUAUGAAGAGAAAGUCUGGAUAUGAAAUAAAUGGAGGUCCAGUAGUUCAGACUUCAUGGUGGGAAAAUGAGUGAGUGUUAGGAUAAGAAUCAUUGAAGUCCAGUGGCAAGACAGAGUCAAGACAACCAGUGAUGGCUCCGAAUGCAAUGGAUAGGGGCAGCUAGGUCACACAGUGGAUGAAACACCUGCCCUGGAUUCAGGAGUACCUGAGUUCAAAUCCGGCCUCAGACACUGGACACUUACUAGCUGUGUGACCCUGGGCAAGUCACUUAACCCCCAUUGCCCUGCAAAAAAAAAAGAAUGCAACGGAUAACCUUGACAUCUCUGGUGUCUAGCUAAGCUCCAUGGCCUAUUGGAACAAAUUAUUUACAUCUGCCUAUUCUCCAGGGAACAUCUUCAUAUACUUGGGGAAGACAACCCCUAACUCACUGAAGGGUUUGAGGCCUGUCAAUUACCUUCAACCUGAUAUAGCCUGUCUGCCAAAACAAUUUCACCAGGCUGUGGUUACUGCCCAUGCUAUAGUUUCUUGGAGCCACAGGUGAGAGCAAUGUGGCAGGUAGACACCAAAAAUGGAAAGCAGUCCUGAAGAGGGUUCAGUAGCCCUCAUACCAAAGGUACUAGUUUUCUCUUCACACCUCCUACACCCUUCCCUCAAACAGAUAAAGAUAAAGGAGUAAUAGAUCUCCAAGGCCUGAGAGUAUAUUAUAAGUAGUUAUCAAAACUAUUUAGUAUUAAUUAAAAAUAACAUUAAAAAUAAACAGUUAGAUUAAGUGAUUAGUGUUGACAAGGGAGAAUACAAAAAGGAAUUGAAUAAUCCAGUGUUCAAUAAAUUAGGAAAAAUUACUUAGGAAAGAACUCUCCAUUUGAUAGAAAUUUCUGGAAAAAUUAGAAAGCCGUCUGUUAGAAAUUAUUUUUCGACAAACAUCUUGUGUCAUAUUCCACAAUGAAUUCAAAACAGGUAUAAAACCUCAAUAUUAAAGAUUAUACCUUUGAAAAAAGAAUGACAAAAAUAGGAGAAGCAGACAAUAUACCUUUUGUUUCUAUGAAUAAGAAAUGAAUUCUUAACCAACAAGUGAUAGAAGCAAUUACAAAAUAUAAAAUAGUCUUGAUUACAUGAAAUAAAAAAUGUGAAACAAAAUUAAUGUACCCUGGAUAAAAAGGAAGGGGACAAAUAGGGGGAGGAAUCCACAGAAUUUAUCAGAUAAGUGUUUAGUAUUCAUGAGAUCUAAAAAUGAUCAUAUAUGUGGGUGUGAAUGUAUAGACAGAUAUAUAAUAGAUAGAGAUAAAGAGAUAGACAGACAGACAGAUAGAACCAAAAACCAUUCCUCAAUAUUUACAUUCAAAGGAUUAUAUGCAGCUUUAAAAAGAAAUCCAAAGUAUUAACAACCAUAUGAAAGAAUGAAUGAAAUAACUAAUAAUAAGAAAUACAAAUCAAAAUAUUCAUGAGGUUUCACCUUGCAAAUGAGCAUAAAUGACAAAAAGUGGGAAUAGCCAAUGUCGAUGGAGUUAUGGGAAGAUAAACACACUAGUGCAUUGUUGGUGGAGCUGUGAAUCAAACAUUUUGGAAAACAAUUUGGAGUUAUGCAAACAUAAUAACGUGCACACCUUUUGGCCCAGUAAUUCCACUACUAGGCUUAUACCCUAAAGAGAUCAUUGAUAAGAAGGAAACCCCUACAUACUACAAAAAUAUUUAUAACAUCAUUUUUUCUGGUAGUAAAAAACUGAAAACACAAUAGAUGCUUAUUGAACUAAACAAACUGUAGUACAUGAAUAUAAUGGAAUAUUACUUCGCAAGAAACAGAUAUGGUAAAUACAGAAAAACAGGGGAGAGUUAAAUGAUCUUAUACAUAGUGACUUAUGAAAGACAAGAAAACAACGUAAACAGUGAUUACAACAAAGUAAAUGGAGGGGAAUCACAAAAUGAUCAUAAAUGAAUAUUGCAAAAUUACAAAGAACAAGCAUGACUCCAAUGAAGAAAUCUGAAAGGACAUUCCCAUCCUACUCCUUUGUGAAGGUGGGAAGUUAUGAUGCAUUAUAUCCUUAUUUAACAUUAAUAUAUAUUUGAUGUAUCUCAAGAUUAUUUUCAGGGGCCUGAAAAUAUUUACACGUGGAGAGACAUAUAUAGGAAUGAGUUAAAAUGGCAUGCUGAGAACAGAAAUAUGUUAGGCUAUCAUGCCUCAUAAACCUUAAUACAAAAAGAAGAAUUUUGAAUAAUGGGCAUAUUAAUUAAGAAUCUUAUACUGAGAAACUUCUUUGAAAUAUGUAUCCAGAUUAAAGAAAUGGGAUCCCUUUCUCUAAAAGUGUAAUGAAUUCUCUUGUAGAUGAGAUUGUCUUUCCUAAUUUGUAUCUAUUUCUACAAUUACAGAAUCAAAACUCUCACAAGUA
Long non-coding RNA from Dromiciops gliroides (monito del monte), 2845 nucleotides. RefSeq lists it as uncharacterized. The record is from RefSeq and is a predicted model, not a curated record. NCBI's taxonomy places the organism in Eukaryota, Metazoa, Chordata, Mammalia, Microbiotheria, Microbiotheriidae. The transcript has 3 exons.